AAAGGCACAUGCUUAGAGGGUCUGGAGAAGGCGAGGAAGAAGGAAGGGAGCCAAGUAAAACAUGUGACUGACCAGGGGCUUUGGAGAAGACAAGCCCUGCAGGAAGGCACGCAUGUGGUCAUUCUGUCUGUAGCCUCCCAUUCCUCCCUGCUUUCCCCAGCUGCAUCUACCUGGAUCCUGAAUUUGAACCAAGUGGUCCAAACGGCCCGGUCACCUGAGCAACCCCUCUGCAGGAACCGCAGCCAGAGGAGGAAGAGAAGGUUGGUCCUCAGCGCCUGGACGCCUGGUAGACGAUAGGGGAUGACAUGAUGAGUAAAAUAAGGACAGGAACACGCCGAAUCCCCUUUCAUAAUGAUAGGAC
Molecule: long non-coding RNA, 361 nt
Filed under: Homo sapiens (human)
Lineage: Eukaryota; Metazoa; Chordata; Mammalia; Primates; Hominidae
Description: HSALNT0344117
Source: RNAcentral